UGGGUAACCUGCCUCAAAGAGGGGAAUAGCCUCCCCGAAAGGGAGAUUAAUACCGCAUAAUAUGUUUAAGUCGCAUGACUUUAACAUCAAAGGUAUUUUUCUUUUAAGAAAUUCCACUUUGAGAUGGACCCGCGGCGCAUUAGCUAGUUGGUGAGGUAACGGCUCACCAAGGCAACGAUGCGUAGCCGACCUGAGAGGGUGAUCGGCCACACGUGGGACUGAGACACGGCCCAGACCUCCCGUAGGGACGG
RNAcentral lists this ribosomal RNA (251 nucleotides) under uncultured bacterium. RNAcentral's name for it is "partial 16S ribosomal RNA". It matches the Rfam family "Bacterial small subunit ribosomal RNA", at positions 118 to 348 of the family's 1533-position model. The record is from RNAcentral.